This 486-nucleotide ribosomal RNA is filed under the name Orphnaeus brasilianus. RNAcentral describes it as "partial 16S ribosomal RNA". It matches the Rfam family "Bacterial large subunit ribosomal RNA", at positions 1831 to 2600 of the family's 2925-position model. Lineage: Eukaryota; Metazoa; Arthropoda; Chilopoda; Geophilomorpha; Oryidae. The record is from RNAcentral.
AUCUUAUUGUUUGAAUGAUAAGUGGGGCCUGCCAGUGAGUUUUUUAACGGCCGCGGUAACUUGACCGUGCAAAGGUAGCAUAAUCAUUUGUUUUUUAAUUGAAAACUGGAAUGAAAGGUCUGACGGGGGGGAGCUUUCUUUGAAUAAAAAUAGAAUUUUAGUUUUUUGUGAAGACGCUAAAAUGUAAAUAAAAGACGAGAAGACCCUAUCAAGCUUUACUUGGUUUAUAUUUUAUUUAUUUGUUCAUUUUAUAGAAAGAGUUUUGUUGGGGCAACAGAUAUUGAUAUAAUUUAUUUUUUUAUAAGACUUUCUGUAUUUUAUGAUCCUUUUUUUAGAUAAUAAGAUUAAGUUACUGUAGGGAUAACAGCAUAAUCAUACUGGAGAGUUCCUAUUGAUAGUAUGGAUUGUGACCUCGAUGUUGAAUUAGGAUACCUGUUGUAUGCAGAAGUACAGUAAGGAGGUCUGUUCGACCUUUAUUUUCCUACG